UGCCAGCCGCCGCGGUAACACGGGGGGCGCAAGCGUUAUUCGGAAUUAUUGGGCGUAAAGGGCGCGUAGGCGGUCUUAUCGGUCAGAUGUGAAAGCCCAGGGCUCAACCCUGGACGUGCAUUUGAAACAGUAAGACUUGAGUAUGGGAGAGGAAAGCGGAAUUCCUGGUGUAGAGGUGAAAUUCGUAGAUAUCAGGAGGAACACCGAUGGCGAAGGCAGCUUUCUGGACCAAUACUGACGCUGAGGCGCGAAGGCGUGGGUAGCGAACAGGAUUAGAUA
This 279-nucleotide ribosomal RNA is filed under the name uncultured bacterium. RNAcentral describes it as "partial 16S ribosomal RNA". It matches the Rfam family "Bacterial small subunit ribosomal RNA", at positions 506 to 784 of the family's 1533-position model. The record is from RNAcentral.